GAUAGAUAAUACUGCUAUUGCCAAUCCUCUCUGUCAUGUAAUCCAUAUUCCAGAGAGGAUUGGCAAUAGCAGUAUUAUCUAUC
Molecule: microRNA precursor, 83 nt
Filed under: Xyrichtys novacula (pearly razorfish)
Lineage: Eukaryota; Metazoa; Chordata; Actinopteri; Labriformes; Labridae
Source: RNAcentral